ACUUGAAUAGCUUAUUUUAGAGCACGACACUGAAGAUGUCGAUGAGGUACAUGUACCUUUGAGUA
This 65-nucleotide transfer RNA is filed under the name Humutermes krishnai. RNAcentral's name for it is "tRNA-Phe". Lineage: Eukaryota; Metazoa; Arthropoda; Insecta; Blattodea; Termitidae. The record is from RNAcentral.